CAAUUUUCAGCGACGGAUAUCUUGGCUCGAGCACCUAUGAAGGGCGCAGCGAAGUGCGAUAAUCGUUGUGAAUUGCAGAACUCCGUGAACCAAUGGCCUCUUGAACGUGCAUUGCGCUCUUGGGAUAUGCCUGGGAGCAUGUCUGCUUCAGUG
Molecule: ribosomal RNA, 153 nt
Filed under: uncultured Symbiodinium
Lineage: Eukaryota; Dinophyceae; Suessiales; Symbiodiniaceae
Description: 5.8S ribosomal RNA
Rfam family: 5.8S ribosomal RNA
About the family: 5.8S ribosomal RNA (5.8S rRNA) is a component of the large subunit of the eukaryotic ribosome. It is transcribed by RNA polymerase I as part of the 45S precursor that also contains 18S and 28S rRNA.
Source: RNAcentral